RNAcentral lists this small RNA (182 nucleotides) under Pongo abelii (Sumatran orangutan). Its description in RNAcentral is "retained intron". Lineage: Eukaryota; Metazoa; Chordata; Mammalia; Primates; Hominidae. The record is from RNAcentral.
UUUUUUUUCUUUUUCUGUAUUAAUAGGGCCAUUCACAUGUUAAACUGCAGCUUGCAGCCAUGUUUUGUAUAUCAAACCUCAUAUGGAAUGAAGAGGAAGGUUCACAAGAACGCCAGGAUAAAUUACGAGACAUGGGCAUCGUAGAUAUUCUACACAAACUGAGUCAGUCACCAGAUUCAAAC